This 77-nucleotide transfer RNA is filed under the name bacterium. RNAcentral's name for it is "tRNA-Ile". It matches the Rfam family "tRNA". Rfam says of the family: Transfer RNA (tRNA) molecules are approximately 80 nucleotides in length. The record is from RNAcentral.
GCAGCUGUAGCUCAGGUGGUUAGAGCGCGUCGCUGAUAACGACGAGGUCCCAGGUUCGAGUCCUGGCAGCUGCACCC